This 447-nucleotide ribosomal RNA is filed under the name uncultured bacterium. RNAcentral's name for it is "SSU rRNA". It matches the Rfam family "Bacterial small subunit ribosomal RNA", at positions 26 to 518 of the family's 1533-position model. The record is from RNAcentral.
AGAACGAACGCUGGCGGCAGGCCUCAAACAUGCAAGUCUAGGGGGCGUAGCAAUACGUCACCGGCGGACGGGUGCGUAACACGUGGGAAUGUACUUACUGGUUCGGAACAACUCAGGGAAACUUGAGCUAAUACCGAAUGUGCCCGAAAGGGGAAAGAUUUAUCGCCAGUAAAUCAGCCCGCGUCCGAUUAGCUAGUUGGUGGGGUAAAGGCCCACCAAGGCGACGAUCGGUAGCUGUUCUGAGAGGAAGAUCAGCCACACUGGGACUGAGACACGGCCCAGACUCCUACGGGAGGCAGCAGUUGGGAAUCUUGGACAAUGGGGAAACCCUGAUCCAGCCAUGCCGCGUGAGUGAUGAAGGCCUUCGGGUUGUAAAACUCUUUCGACGGGGACGAUAAUGACGGUACCCGUAGAAGAAGCUCCGGCUAACUUCGUGCCAGCAGCCGC